UUACGUGUUACAUAUUGCAAGGGGAGUGGAGAAAGAAGCCGCGAGUUGUGAAACGACUCGAUUGAUAAAGAGAGAUUCCAGAGGGCGCCGCUCCAAAAAGGGGAAGGGCGGUUAAACUUUUGAUAGUGCUAGAAAACUAGUAUCGCAUUCGCAUGACGACGGUGACGAACCUUAUCCUGAAAGCAGCAGCAGCAGCAGAGAAUGGUGAAGAAGACCCUGGUGGCGCUGUCGGUGGCUGUUCGGGGACAAGCAGCAGCAGCAGCCGCCGCCGUUCCACAUUAGAUUUGGAUUUAGGAAAUGGAAGCCAAGUGGUGUACGUGGCGAGGUUCCUUGGCUACCAGGAGUCGUGGGAUUACUUCCACUAUCUAAACAAACACAUCCCUUGGACCCGUCCAACCAUCCGCGUCUUUGGCCGAUCUUCUGUCCAGGUAGGUGCAUUACGCUCUGCCGUCUGUGUGGGUGUGAAAAUUUUUUUUUUUUUUUUUAAAUUUCAGAUUCAAUGUUUUAUCAUGCCGAUGGUCUUAAUUUGCGGGUUGUUGAGCGAGUUUUGUAUGUGGGAUUCUGAGAUUCACCUGGUUUUCUUUGGUGGGAAUACUUUGAAGAUGUUGGGCUUUAACUCAUAAAUAGUAUACUCUAAUACUUUAUGCUGGAAUUGAUUUCUGAUGCCUGAAUUCUGAUGCUGUCUCCUGACUUGAUGCCUUCUCAUAUUUUUUUGUGGGUCAUGGGCCUAAUUUAAACAAGCGCCCGCAGCCCCUCGCCCCCUCCCCCUCCCCUCUUCCUUCCCGGCUCAACAAUUACACUUAUGUAAACAUUGAUUAAUCUUCAUUACUGCGGCAUUAGACUUGUAGCUCAGAGACACGACCACUUUUCUCUCGGCUGGAAUUGCGAUUUGUAGUCAAUACUGAAUUCAGACGUUUCUAAAAUGGUCUGAAUAUCCAAUUCAACUCUACACAUGCUCCUCUAAUUUGAACUAGUGCGGAGGAGCGGUUCAUCGUUUCAAAGGGAAGGGAUGCAUGAGAAAAUGCUCAACUCAAUGGGGUUCAGGAUUUCUGAUUUGUCAUUUUCCUCUCCACAGCCCAGAGAUGUGUGCUAUGUCGCCAGUGAAGGAUUGCCAGACCUAGCAUACAGCGGAUACCAGCCUCAUGCACAUUCCUGGGAUGAGUUUCCCCCACUCAAGGACAUUCUGGAAGCAGUAUGAUUGGUGUUUCUUCAUUUUGAUGGAUUUGGCAUGCUGCAUAUAUGUGUGCCUGACUAAUUGGCAAACCACGCUGUUGCUAUGUUAUAGGUCCACAGUGCGCUUCCUGGGAGUUGUUUCAACAGUUUACUGCUGAAUAGAUACAAAGGCGGAAGUGACUACGUUAGCUGGCAUGCUGAUGACGAAAAACUGUAUGGUCCAACCCAUGGAAUUGCCUCGGUUUCUUUUGGUUGUGAACGGGAGUUCUUGUUGAAGAGGAAGCCAGGCAAGAAUUUUCGAGGUAGCUUAGCUCACUCAAAAAACUUGUUACUAGUAGUAGCGUUCUUUAUGAAAAAGAACAUUUUAUUUCAUCUUGUAAUGGCAGCAGGCAAGAAGAGAUCAGAGGGCAAAAGGGCAAGGGAGCAGGACAGGGUCGCUGAACAACACUCGUUCACGUUGAAGCAUGGGUCGCUUUUGGUGAUGAGAGGCUACACUCAGCGGGACUGGCUUCAUUCGGUGCCCAAGCGGGCCAAAGCGCAAUCCACACGAAUUAAUCU
Molecule: long non-coding RNA, 1731 nt
Filed under: Coffea arabica (coffee)
Lineage: Eukaryota; Viridiplantae; Streptophyta; Magnoliopsida; Gentianales; Rubiaceae
Description: long non-coding RNA (CARA_LNC006143)
Source: RNAcentral